AUUGAACGCUGGCGGCAGGCUUAACACAUGCAAGUCGAGCGAGCGGCGGACGGGUGAGUAAUGUCUGGGAAACUGCCUGAUGGGGGGGGAUAACUACUGGAAACGGUAGCUAAUACCGCAUACCAUCAGAUGUGCCCAGAUGGGAUUAGCUAGUAGGUGGGGUAAUGGCUCACCUAGGCGACGAUCCCUAGCUGGUCUGAGAGGAUGACAGCCCACACUGGAACUGAGACAAGGUACAGAAUCCUACGGGAGGCAGCAGGGGGGAAUAUUGGACAAAGGGGGCAAGCGUGAUGCAGCAAUGCCGCGUGGGAGAAGAAGGCCUUCGGGUUGUAAAGCACGUUCAGCGAGGAGGAGUUACUCGCAGAAGAAGGACCGGCUAACGCCGGGCCAGAAGCCGCGGUAAUUC
This 406-nucleotide ribosomal RNA is filed under the name uncultured bacterium. RNAcentral describes it as "partial 16S ribosomal RNA". It matches the Rfam family "Bacterial small subunit ribosomal RNA", at positions 29 to 526 of the family's 1533-position model. The record is from RNAcentral.